RNAcentral lists this ribosomal RNA (247 nucleotides) under uncultured bacterium. Its description in RNAcentral is "partial 16S ribosomal RNA". It matches the Rfam family "Bacterial small subunit ribosomal RNA", at positions 86 to 334 of the family's 1533-position model. The record is from RNAcentral.
AGAUGGCGACCGGCGCACGGGUGAGUAACACGUAUCCAACCUGCCGAUAACUCGGGGAUAGCCUUUCGAAAGAAAGAUUAAUACCCGAUAGCAUAAUGAUUCCGCAUGGUUUCAUUAUUAAAGGAUUCCGGUAAAGGAUGGGGAUGCGUUCCAUUAGGUUGUUGGUGAGGUAACGGCUCACCAAGCCUUCGAUGGAUAGGGGUUCUGAGAGGAAGGUCCCCCACAUUGGAACUGAGACACGGUCCAA